Molecule: ribosomal RNA, 892 nt
Filed under: Fusarium solani
Lineage: Eukaryota; Fungi; Ascomycota; Sordariomycetes; Hypocreales; Nectriaceae
Description: partial 28S ribosomal RNA
Rfam family: Eukaryotic large subunit ribosomal RNA
Source: RNAcentral
AUAUCAAUAAGCGGAGGAAAAGAAACCAACAGGGAUUGCCCCAGUAACGGCGAGUGAAGCGGCAACAGCUCAAAUUUGAAAUCUGGCUCUCGGGCCCGAGUUGUAAUUUGUAGAGGAUGCUUUUGGUGAGGUGCCUUCCGAGUUCCCUGGAACGGGACGCCAUAGAGGGUGAGAGCCCCGUCUGGUUGGACGCCGAACCUCUGUAAAGCUCCUUCGACGAGUCGAGUAGUUUGGGAAUGCUGCUCUAAAUGGGAGGUAUAUGUCUUCUAAAGCUAAAUACCGGCCAGAGACCGAUAGCGCACAAGUAGAGUGAUCGAAAGAUGAAAAGAACUUUGAAAAGAGAGUUAAACAGUACGUGAAAUUGUUGAAAGGGAAGCGCUUGUGACCAGACUUGGGCUUGGUUGAUCAUCCGGGGUUCUCCCCGGUGCACUCUUCCGGCCCAGGCCAGCAUCAGUUCGCCCUGGGGGACAAAGGCAUCGGGAACGUGGCUCUCUCCGGGGAGUGUUAUAGCCCGUUGCGUAAUACCCUGCGGCGGACUGAGGUUCGCGCAUUCGCAAGGAUGCUGGCGUAAUGGUCAUCAGUGACCCGUCUUGAAACACGGACCAAGGAGUCGUCUUCGUAUGCGAGUGUUCGGGUGUCAAACCCCUACGCGAAAUGAAAGUGAACGCAGGUGAGAGCUUCGGCGCAUCAUCGACCGAUCCUGAUGUUAUCGGAUGGAUUUGAGUAAGAGCAUACGGGGCCGGACCCGAAAGAAGGUGAACUAUGCCUGUGUAGGGUGAAGCCAGAGGAAACUCUGGUGGAGGCUCGCAGCGGUUCUGACGUGCAAAUCGAUCGUCAAACAUGGGCAUGGGGGCGAAAGACUAAUCGAACCUUCUAGUAGCUGGUUUCCGCC